AUGUGCUCGGAUUGUAGACCCAUCAAUGUUAUUACCGUUCGUUAUAGGCAUCCCAUUCCUCGCCUAGAUGAUAUGCUUGAUGAACUUAGCGGUGCCACCAUUUUAUCAAAAAUUGAUUUUAAAAGUGGCUAUUAUCAAAUCCGCAUACAAGAAGGUGAUGAAUGGAAAACUGCUUUCAAAACCAAAUUUGGCUUGUACGAGUGGUUGGUUAUGCCUAUGGGUUUAUCGGAAGCUCCCGGUACUUUCAUGCGUCUUAUGCAUUUUGUGCUUCGUCCUUACAUUGGAGUGUUUGUUGUGGUUUUCUUCGAUGGCAUUCUUGUUUUUAGCAAACCCAUGAAAUAG
This 342-nucleotide ribosomal RNA is filed under the name Triticum aestivum (bread wheat). RNAcentral describes it as "partial small subunit ribosomal RNA". The record is from RNAcentral. Lineage: Eukaryota; Viridiplantae; Streptophyta; Magnoliopsida; Poales; Poaceae.